AUUCCAGCUCCAAUAGCGUAUAUUUAAGUUGUUGCGGUUAAAAGGCUCGUAGUUGGAUUUCGGGCGUGGAGGUUCGGUCCGCCGUUUCGGUGUGCACUGUCUUUCUGCGUCUUUCUGUCGGGGACGCGCUUCUGGCCUUAAUUGGCUGGGGCGUGGAUUCGACGAGGUUACUUUGAAAAAAUUAGAGUGUUCAAAGCAAGCUAAAGCUCUGAAUACAUUAGCAUGGAAUAACGCGAGAGGACUCGGUCCUUAUUUUGUUGGUCUUCAAGGAUGGAGUAAUGAUUAAGAGGGACAGUUGGGGGCAUUCGUAUUUCAUUGCUAGAGGUGAAAUUCUUGGAUUUAUGAAAGACGAACUUCUGCGAAAGCAUUUGCCAAGGAUGUUUUCAUCA
This 389-nucleotide ribosomal RNA is filed under the name Pycnococcaceae sp. RNAcentral's name for it is "partial small subunit ribosomal RNA". It matches the Rfam family "Eukaryotic small subunit ribosomal RNA", at positions 582 to 975 of the family's 1831-position model. The record is from RNAcentral. Lineage: Eukaryota; Viridiplantae; Chlorophyta; Pseudoscourfieldiophyceae; Pseudoscourfieldiales; Pycnococcaceae.